Molecule: transfer RNA, 7415 nt
Filed under: Gallus gallus (chicken)
Lineage: Eukaryota; Metazoa; Chordata; Aves; Galliformes; Phasianidae
Source: RNAcentral
GUUUGUAGCUGUUUUUUGUUUGUUUUAAUACAAUUAAAGAUGUGCCAUUUACACCCCACAAGAAAAAGCAGAAAGAGUCCUUAUGGAAAAAAACAAAUAUAUUGAACACAUACCAAUCAAAUGGUACAGAUACGGGACUGGCUUUGAUUUCAAAAUUUAAGUAGAAAUAAAAAAAGAUGUAAUGCAACAGCUGUUCAAUUUCCAAGUCUAAAUAGGCACUGUAAAAAGACAUUUCAGCUUUCUCCAGCACACAUUCCUGCCUAAACGUUCCCACUGUAAUCAAUUCCUAGGUUCCCAAACAACAACAAAAAAAAUCACUGGGAACAUAACCUUAGAAUAAAAGUUAAUAUCCAUCCACCCACCCUCUUACAAAAAAAGCAAACAAAAAAAAAUUCCCAAGAAGUACAACCUUUCAAUGCUGCUGUUUUGACUGGAGCAGAAUUGGAGAAUUUAUAAAGGUUCAGAAGCACCCAAGGCAAGUAGUACAACGUAAUUUGUUCACUAACUUGUAUUGGAAAGGAGAUUAAAAACAUUGAGAUCUGCAUCUUUGUACAUAAAACUGUUGUCCUGAAUAAAGAGAAAUCUUUCAGAAAAGUUUUACAACUUGGUGGAAGUCCAGGACCCAGCUUUAGGCAUCAUUAAAUCAAUGGGGUUUAAUUCUGACUUAGUUUUAACCACUUUUAUAUACUGUACAUCUACCCUAGUUGGAUCAGUAUCUCAAACUGCUCACUGGUGUCCCUUUGAACAACUGUAAACUAAACCAUAGUAUGCAACUCCAUAGGAAGCUAGAGAUCGGGUGAAUAUACAGCCAGUUAUAUCUCCCCUGCUUCACGCUCCUCUGAGCUCCUUGGGUCUUCUGAUCGGCCAUUAGCACUUUCAUAAGAACGUUUCUUGUCUUUGAAAUCUCGCGGCGAUCUCUCUCUCGGGCUUCUAUCUUUAUCACGUGAUGUUCUAUCACGAUCUCUUGAACGUUCUUUGUCCCGGGAAGAUCUUUCUUUUGAGGACCUCUUUUUGGAGCUGCGCUCUCGGCUCCUCUCCCUGGAGCUGUGCCUGCUUCUAUGAUGGCUGCGACUCCGGCUGCGGCUGUUGGAGCGAGACCUGUGGCGAUGGCGUUUCUCACGGGAUUUAGAGCGAGUUCUUCUUUUCCGUUCCCUGGAGGCUGAGCGAGAGCGAUGUCUGCGACGAUCUCGGGACCUAGAUCUUUUGGUAUGCUUGCUGUGGGAUCUGGACCUCCUUAGUUUCUCCCUUUCUUCUCUUUCCCUCUCCUCUCUGCGUUUCAGGCGCUCCUGAUUUCGUUUCUCUUGUUUAUCAGCCACAAUCCUCCUGAGUUCCUCAAGUUUCUCUCUUAUUUCAAUAAAUCCUAAGUGUAGUUUUCCUCCGAAGUGGUCAGCAAGACGUCGGUCAUUGUCAUGAAGACCAAGAUAAGCCGAACACACUUCACAAACCCGUAGCUUCUGCUGUUGAAAGCUAGAGGCAGGCAUAGAAUUCCUGUACACUUCUUCGGCUUCUCUCUUCUUUACCCGGGCCUUCUCCACUUCAUCCAUUACUUUUUGAGAUUCUUCCACAUUUCCAUCAGCUCCCAGCUGUUCUACUUUGGCCAGUAGUUUCCCAAUUUCUUCAUUCAAUUCAUGAACUCGUUCAGCUUUAGCUGCAACUUCAGCACUGAUCUCUUCUUGGGUUUCUGCUAAUCUCUUCUUAGCAACUUCUGUUCUCCUGUCACAGUCUGCAAUAAAUGACUGCAGGUGGUCCAUUGCAUCAAGUUCAAAGAAGAAGUCUUGAUCUUUGGAUGCUAUUUCAUAGUCUGCCCUUAAUGCCAGGUCAUGCACCUUCAGACAUUCUCCAAGGUCCAUUCUAGUUCCAGAGAGGACAUCAUGAGGGCAGCAGUUGAGGAGGUGACUCUUGCACACUCUGUCAUCACUGAACUUGAUUCGCUGGCGGGUCGUAUCACCGUCCCGGGACGUGCCCAUGAGCUGGUCCAGCAUGGCGCGCAUCUGGGCCUGCGCCGACAUCUUGAGCGUGCGAGGGCGGCCCGGCCCGGCCGAGUCACGCCGACUCCCUGCGGCCUACAAGGCCUGAGGCUCUCGGGCCCCCCCCUCGCGUCACUCGCGGACUCGGGCGGCGACGCCGCCGCCGGGGGCGAAGCGGGCGCUGCCUGUGGCUGUGCCGCGGACGGAGGGCGGAGCGCGAAGCCUGCCCCGCUCCGGACCCGCUGCCGCCGCCUCCCCUCCCCCCGCCUCGCCGCCCGCUUCCUCUCACGCCUGCCACGCGCGCGCGCCAGCGCUAACGGAAACCCGCGCGCACGCGUCGUACACCCCCCUUCACCCGCUCCUCGACGUCAUCGCGGACGGAGCCUUUGGCACCCUCUGAUUGGUCGCCACGCGCGGUGACGCGCGGCGCAGCGCGGCCGCCGAUUGGCCCGGGCGGCUUCUCGCGCGGUGAUUGGGCGGGCGGCUCCGCGCAGGCGCCGUGAGGCACGGGCUCGGCGGGCGGCCCCGAGGGGAGCCCGCCCCGUCAGCGGGUGCGCGGCGUUGGGCCUGGCGGCGGCGGGCGCUUUGUUGUGCCUUCAGCCGCCGUGUUGCCCUCUAGCGCCCGGCUGCAGCCGCCGACUGGUACAGGGACCGACCCAGCUGUGAAUCAGCCGUCCGCAGCCAGGGGACGCGUUACGCUGUCAGACUUAGCUCAGUGCAACCGAAAGAAAAGGCGACACAAAAAGCCGCCCCGCCCCAGUCAGGAUUUAACACGAACUGUGGGGAAGAUGCAAUGAAUCCCCACAGAAGUAGUCCUUAAAAUGCGUUUGUGGAAAAAUUCGUGGCCCGGAGCUCCUCGCGCAGUCUGAACAUGCCCUGGAUCUAUUGUUUCCUUUGUCAGAUUUGGUUUUGGUCGUCAUUAUGGUAUACGGGAGCUGUUGGAUGGGGUGAGUCCUCAAUCCACUCAGAAAGUAAAACAAACCAAAAGCUUUCCCCUGUUCGGCUGGUGAGACUGCAGAACUGCCAAUGCAGUUUAUAGCCUACAAAACCUUAUGGCUUGCAGCGCACAUCUUACCCGACCCACAUCACCCAGAUCUCCCCGGCUACCUGCUGUGCCCAUCUCCUGGGCAUGGGGCUGGGCUGGUGUUAAGGAAAAAGGAUAGCACGUGGAUUUAGGUAGUUGGAUCGAGUGUACCCUCAGCAGUUUGCAGAUGACACCGAGCUGUGUGGUGCGGUUGACACACCUGAGGAUUCUACCGAAGAUAUGCUCGAGCAGUGGGCCCAGGAGAACCUCAUGAGGUUCAACAAUGCCAGGCACGAGGUCUGCACAUGGGUCAUGCCAACCCCCACUACCAAUACAAGCUGGAGGAUAUAAGGAUGGAGCACAGCCUGUGUGAAAAGGACUUGGAAGUAAUGGACAUGAGUCAGCAGUGUGCCCUCACAACGCAGAAAGCUAACCGAAAGCUGCAUCAAAUGGAGUAUGGUCAGCAGGGAGAGAGAGGUGAUCCUGCCCUCUGCUCUGCACUGUGAGACCUCACCUGGAGUGCUGCAGCCAGACAGGGAGUCCUCUUUACGAAGGAGACAUGGACCUGUGGGAACACAUCCAGAGGAGGGCCAUGUAAGUGAUCCAAGGGAUGGAAUGCCUCCCUGUGAGGACAGACUGAGAGAAAUGGGGCUGUUCAGACUGGAGAAGAGAAGGUGCUGAGGAGACCUGAGAGGAGCCUUUCAGAAUCUGACAGGGGGCUGUAAGAAAGAAGGGGACAGACUCUUCAGCAGGGUAGUGGCGCUGGGACAGGUUGCCUGGAGAGGCGGUGGAUGCUCCAUCCCUGCAGACAUUCAACGCGUCAGGGUGGGGGCGCUCUGAGCAACCUGUAGUCGUCCCUGUUCAUUGCAGGGGAUUUGGAUUGGGUGACCUUUAGAAGUUCCUUCCAACUGAAAUUAUUCUGAUUUUAUCAGAUGAAGCCAUUUUGUGUGCAGUGCUUCCUGAUAGCACACUUUGUUUUCCCUGGUAGUAAAGCCAACACAAGCACUCUUUUGUUAGUGUCACUUGAAGCUCCUCCCUAAUUACAAACAAGCCUCACAUUCUUAUCCACUGUAAGUUACCCUGAUUACAGAUUUCUUACACGUAUUGCACAGAAUUCGAGACUCUUCUGAGAAGUGGGCAGCAACAAUUGCAGCUACUAUUUCUCUUCUGAUAAAAAAAUGAUUCACUGUUCCAGAUUGUGAGAAGAGAGAACAGUGGUAUUAUUGUGACUAUAGCUCAUUGUUACAUGAUUUAUACGAGGGCUGCUUGAAAGUAAUGCCUCCUAUUUUACUACGUUGGCCCAUGACGUCAGAGCAGAUGUUGUGGUGGUAUGGCAGGAGAAGUUGUACCUUCCCACAGUAUUCCACUUCAUUUUGUUGCUUUGAGACGGAGGGGCAAGCUGAGAAAAUGGCACCUAACAUGGAAGUGAGCAUGAAGCAAAGAUGUGUCACUGAAUUCCUCCAAGUGGAAAAAAUGGCACCCAGUGACAUUCGCUCAUCUUUGCUGAAUGUUUAUGGAGACCAAACAGUGGAUGUGAGCACCGUGAUGAGGUGAAUGCUGUGCUUCAGCAGAGGCAACAGUGACGUGAAAGACAAGCCAUGUUCCAGAUGGCCAUGCAGACUUUGAUAAGCAUGGCACGCAGGCUGUUCAUUGCUGGCAAAAAUCUAUUGCAUAUGCUUAUGUUGAAAAAUGGUGUUUUACAGCUGAGAAUUUCACAAAGAGUGAAAUCAAACAGUGAUACUCUUUGCAUCUGCUGCAGUUUCCAUGGAAAUAAAUAGGAGGCAGUACUUUUUGCUGCAGCAGUGCUCACCCUCCAACACCCUAAAGACAGGGCCUGACAGGGCCUUUGCUGUUGGAGGAGUACAGAAUUCCUCAUGCAACUCCAGAGUCCUCUUACCUACAAGUUCAGGGAAAGAAAACAAGCAAGUUUAUACCUCCUUAAGCACUCGGUGGCAAGGCCUUUGGCAUGCUUUUCCACAGCAGUCUUUCUCCCCUUGCUUCCUGUUCCAACCCAGCACCGCGGGCACACAGACACACGGGGCAAGGCAGGAGUGCUCGGCACGCAGAGGCAGAGCCCCGGCUGUGGCUCUGACGGCCCCAACCCGAAGCGGACAGAACACACAAGCUACAGGGCAGCUCCAGAGCCGAGGGCGUUUAUUCGGCGCCGAGCAGCGGGCGGCACGGGGCGGCCUCAGCCCUUCCCCCCCGGCUGCCGGGGCAGCCUGAAGCCCACCAACCCCGCCACCUCCUCGGGGGAGCGCUCCCCGCGGCCGUGGUACUCGCGAUGCAGGGCCUGGUGCUGCCGCACGCUGCGCAGCAGGCACAGGUAGGUGGCGGCCUGGAAGUGCAGCUCCUGCUGGGCCCGGCACAGCUUCUCACUGGUCACCCGGUGAGCGCGGAAGGCGGCGAGGACGUGCCGGUAGGCGGCCGUGUCGCGGUAGGCGCGCCCGCUGAUGUGCCGCAGCUCGCGGAGCAGCCCGCGCAACGUCCGCAGCGGAGAGCCCAGCGCCGCCAUCUUCCCGCUCCUCUCCCUCCGCCAAUCAGCCGCCGGCAACCCGCUGCAACGGCCAAUCAGAGAGCGGGCGGCCCGCGCAGUUUUCCGCCCAUCGGCAGAGGUCAAAUGCCGAAGGUCGAGCGCCCCCUCGGCCGUUGGGCGGAGCGACGCGCGCUCAGGGCGUUGAGGGGCGCCGGAGCCGAAGCAGCAGCCGCCGCCCACCCACUGCGUCUGGACGUUGGAUGUCGAAGCGCGUGGUGUGAGCGCUGCGCAACGAAAGCGGCUCAGCCUCAGAUGGUGGGCUUCCGCCUUGUCUGCUGGGCCUACAAGUAGGGUCGCGAAAGCCGCAUUCGGGACGUUAAUUAGAGCAGCUCCCACCCACCAUCUGCUCAGCGUCGAGACGCCCCGCCGCGACCGCACAUCAGAAAACGGAGAGCAAUGCUACAACCAGCGGGAAGGGAGGAAAAAAAGACCACCCCAGAUGGGACUCGAACCCACAAUCCCUGGCUUAGGAGGCCAAUGCCUUAUCCAUUAGGCCACUGGGGCUGCCACGAAAGAAGGGUUUUUCCGGCGCCUACUUGUCCCCUACCUCCUCCCCUCGUCCUAUUAUAGCCAACGUCUGGCGAGCGCUGAUUGGACAGCACCUCCGUCCCCACCUCCCUGCCACGGAGCCUUCUGGGAGCCGUGAGGCCCUCGAACGCGGGCGGGGCACCGCGGUAGAGGUUGUUAUCGUUAAGUGCUGUCGGCCUACGGGAAGUCCUUUACCUGAGUGGUUGGUCGGCUCAAGAAAGCCUGAACUCCCCACUCGAAUUCAUAACGAAGCAAAAUCCCACAAUAAGCCCAGGCCAACAGCCCUUUACGUGGUGCACUUUUCAUCUUUUAUUUUGUGAGAAAUCACAGAGACAGGGCUUAUAUGUACAUUCCUCUUUAUUUAAUACAGCACAGACACGUAACAGAUAAAAAAGAAAACACACUCAUGAAAAAGCCUGUCGCCACCAAGGACAGGGCACAGCUACACCCAACUGUGUAAGGCUCCUACUGCAGAACAGGGCCUGCUGCCUAAACGUGGAUCCCAGAGCAAAACUGCUGCCAAAAAGUCAUCUGCUUUCAGGAAAGCAGAAUGGAGAAGGGGGGGGGAAGAGGGAAAAUCCCUCCAGGAAUAGGCGAAGCAGGCGGCACCUGCAAGGCUUCUUGUAGGACACAAACACCACUACCUGUUUGGACCAAAGCACUAAGAGAAGAAAUGUUCUGCAGCUCUUCUUGCAGAAGCCCCAAAACCCCGACUUCUGAAACCACCACCUGUCUCAGGGAUGGAGACCUGAGCAUCUGGAAGGAGCGAAAACACGGAGCAGUCACAAGAGAUUUAAUUAGUGUCCCUGAUAGGGCUUUGCUCGCCACAGCUGGGAAUGUGCAAGAGAACAAACUGGCUUCCCAAUUAAAAAACUAACAGUCAUUAAACUGACCAGAACUGUACACGUUUGGAACCGAUGCAGGCUUUUGUGGCAGCAGCUUCUUCCUUCUCCCGCUUCAGUUCAGGAUGGAAAUUAAGCAGGCACCAAUUCCUGUGGCAAAGAGCCUUACACAUUUUUUAAAAAAUUAAAAUACAAAAAUGGGAGACAGGUGUAUUUACAAAAUCCAUGGCUGGUACAGUACAUCAUUUUUAAGACACACUAAAUGCUACAAUCUUUCAGGUCCUGAGAUUAUUACCAAAAAAAAAAAAAAAAAAAAAGCAACAACUCAAAACUUGUGUUCAGGUCCAGUUUUAUAAGGAGAGAGGAAGGAAAUCACACAUUUAAAACACAGUAUCCCUUGACGUUAGUGGAACACGCCUCUCUAAAAAUCCAAAAGAAAGUGGUGCUAAUCACCCAACCGUAGCUGCAUUUGGUUGUUCAGGCCUGCGGUCACAAGAGGGGAGCAUUUCACAGGGGAG